GUGAAUUAUCUAAAAGCAUACACAGACUUUCAUGCACAUCGCCUGAAAUUCAUCUCUUAGGGUCUGUGCUUUCUGCAUCCUUGUAUUGUGGGUGCAGUUCCUCCGUCCACCCGCAUGGAGGCGCCGCAGGCUUCUCCUGACAGCAGCAGUGAGGAGUGUACUGUACUAGAGGCUCUGCCUGGCAAGGGAACUGCACUCAUUUGCUCUCAACACAAAGGAAAAGUGUCUGCGCUGUACUGUUUGGUGUGUGAGAACGCAGUCUGUGAAGACUGUAUGAACGGAGAACACGCUGAACAUCCCAC
This is a long non-coding RNA of Danio aesculapii, 302 nucleotides long. RefSeq lists it as uncharacterized. Lineage: Eukaryota; Metazoa; Chordata; Actinopteri; Cypriniformes; Danionidae. The record is from RefSeq and is a predicted model, not a curated record. The transcript has 3 exons.